AUUAUUUGUGAUUUUUUGGUAAAAAAGUACAAAACAGGCGCAUAUAAAUCUUUGCUUUCUUCCUUUCUUUCUUUUCUCUUCCUUCCCCUUCUUCCCCAUUUUUUUCCUUUCUUCCCCACCCGAAACAGACUAUUGUUCCCCAGGUUCACCAGCUUUGGCUCUGUAAAGGCAACGCGCGCGUUGUAUAACAGUAUAACAGAAACCGGACUUAAUGACUUAAACGACUUUUUCGUGACGUUGGUUUAGAAUAGCCGCAUGGACCAAUCACCACGGCCAUCUCGUAAAAGAAGGGGCGGGAGUUUAGUCUUGGCUGUUCUGAUUGGUCGAGAUUGUUUGCACACGCGCGCUUACCCAUUCGAGAAGUCAUAUAUGAACUUAUUCAGAAGAAACUCCUCCUCGAGACACCAACUCCACUCGCGUGAAAUAACUCUGUAGGUCUGCUGUUCUGAAACUACAUCAUGAAGUGGUUUUUAAGUCCUGUCUUUCCUGUGAUGAGUAAGUGAUACUGUUUAUAAUUCUCUAUAAAACACAUGAUGAUGAGAGAUUAAAACAGAAACUGCAGGAGAGAUGCGGAAGAGAGAUAACACGGAAAUACACCACAUUACACAGCAGAGAAGUCUCCACACUCGCGCUGUUCCCGUUCGAGUAUUGUGAUUACCAGACUGUAAUACAUUAAUGUUACCUCUAUUCAGACCAGAUUCCAGUUUCAGUGGAUAGCAUCAAGAAAUCUGGACUGUCCACUGGUUUGAAGGGGUUUAUAUUUGCAGUAUUUUCUGUAAAUAUUAACACAUAGUGUACAGUGAUUACAACAUGGACUACAUUUAUAGUAGCAUUAUUUCAGGGGACUGAAGGAGACACCGCGUUAAUCAUUUUGGACGGAAGGGAGAUUCCUCCCAUAAUGUAGAGUUCACUUACAGUAUGUAUGCAUCAGUGGCGGACCGUGCAUUUCACACCUAGACCUUCACUGGUGUCCUUCCUGAAUUAAUCGGCAAUAGAUACUAACCAACCGUUAAAUAAGUAAAAAAGAAAUUAGGCUACAGUAUUUCACACCUCACGAGGAAUAGUCAAUUUUAUUACGGUUACUUUUCUCAAAAAAAGUCAUUCUUGAUGCCGUAUGCAGCAAACUGCAAUCUCCGGAGGAUGCAGCAUCCGAAAUGAGACACAGUGAAUAUAGAAACACUGUAUAACAGUGCGCUGUGUCACAGGCUCUUGUAGUGAACAUGAAUAAAAUUACAUUACGAAUAGCAAAAAAAACAAACAAAAACAAAUUAACACAAUUCAGUCUAACAAGUCACCUUUCACUGCAGCAAAAAAUCCCAUAGUCCACCCCGGGAUCUGGAAUGAAGGCAAACUGUUUGUUUUGUGCAAAAGAAAACCCAAAAGCAUAAAUGGUUCUUGAAAAGCUUACCAACUAUUCUGAAGAAUCAAAAGGAUUUUCUUGAAAAGUCCGCCUUGAAAAUGCAUUUGUAAGGAUGUCCGCGACCAAAUCGGUUUCUUCUCCUCUUUCAGGCAUUGUGACUUAAAAUGUAUUAUUUAGUUUGUGCGGUUAUCCAAUCAAAGGACUGGAAAUUGCCGACGUAAACGUAUACCUGCUAGAUGGUCCCAGUGACGCCAACUCGAAAUCUGAUUGGUUAAUGGAUCUGUUUCAUUGACACUUAUUUUAAGCUACGGGCGCCUGCACUUUUAAUUCUGAAAGCCUUACGGCAGAUUUUCACUCUGGGAAUACAUGAUGUCAGCCACUAGCUGAAAUAUGAUUGGAUAAAUACUCAUCAUAAAUAUACACUACUGGAAGCAGCGCAACCAAGAGAAAACCUAUGUAGAGAAUAGACUAUUGGGAAUAAUUUAAUACACAUUCAUGGAAAAAUAUUUUAAUUAUAUUAAAAUGCAAGUCAGUGAUUCAGAUCACUGCUGUUUAGGCCAGCAGAGAAGGCCUUGCUAGCCCUGACGGUCCGCCACUGGUAUGCAUUAAUAUUUUUCUCAUGCAUGAAUAUCAAUGAAUUCAAGCAGCUGCUCAAUUCAGAGGUGUGUGUUAUAUUAAGAUAAUGUAAAAUUACAUGACAUCCAAAAAUACUUAAGUCAUGUUGGUCCAAAAAUCACACUGUAAUGUCUUUCGUUUCACAUCUAAAUGUUUCCUCAGUCUAAUCUAAAGUCUAAUCCAAUAGUCCAGCUGCACAGUAGACCUGCCCUGUUUACUGAAAGAUAUUCUAGUUUCAGGUGUAUACAUUUCAUUACACACAAGGUACUGAUGGAGUAAAGUUCAGAGUAUCACCUAAGCAGCAGUGUACAUGUGCUUCUUUCAGAGAAAGUUGUAGUCACUAGUGUGAGAUCUUUGUUUAACAUUCUCAAAAGUCUGCAGCGUUUGUUUCUGGAACCUGGUGAGUUUUGUCCCUUGGUUCUGUUUGUUUAAACAUAUACGAACACAGCAAUCACGCUCAGAUCCACACCAAAACACCCAGGCCGAGAUCACCUGAACGAGAUCACCUGAACGAGAUCACCUGAACGAGGAUCGAUUUCCAAAAGAAACAGCUGUAAAUUCUGGACAGGAAACUGUUCUGACUCGAGUGUGUCACAUGUUCAAAAUGUCUAUUCUGAUCUGUUCUCUGAUCUGUUAGUUUACCUGCUGAUGGAGCAGUGCCAAGCCUUCAUCUUCAGAGAGUCGAUGGUGAAUAAACCCCUGACCCUCCCGUGUAGUUGCUCAGGAAAUUGUCCAGAGGUUCGGUGGAUCCGCUUCAUUCCUAAAAGAGCCGUCGUUGCUCCGAGUGGGAUGUGUCCCAAACAACAGCAUUCAUAAAGCAGAUAUUCAGUGUCAGGAGAUACAAGCAGAGGAGAUUUCUCCCUGACCAUCAGUUCAGUAGCCUACAAUGAUGCCGGCUCCUACAUGUGCAGCUGUAAUGGACAAUCAGUUACUGAAGUAAAGCUGAAAGUUAUCGAUAAAUGUGCUUGCUGUCAUCAGCAGAAAAUUGUCACUCUUAACAUGUCUGUAGUAAAGUCUGACCAGCCACACUAAAUGCUAAAAGUAAUAAGGUGAUCUGUUUUUGUUUACCCGGAAGUUCCGACAUUUGUAAAGGCUUUGGGGGGAGAGAACGUCGCCCUCCCGUGCUACGGAGACACUCGACAUGACGUUAAAGAUGUAAAAUGGAUGAAAGAUGGACACAGGGUUCUGCUGUACACUCCUGCUAACAGAUCGGUGACUACUGAAAGCAGAUUUACGAUGUCAGUAGCAGGCUUUCUAGACGGUGAUCUCUCUCUCCACAUCAGUCCAGUUCACCCGUCUGAUGCAGGAUUAUAUCAGUGUCUCAUCCAUGAUGAAUCUCAGGACGGAGAACCAGGAGCUGUUUUACUGAAGGUAGAAGGACUACAAUUCACAACCAACAACAGCGCUCAAGUUUCAGUACUGCAUGUGCUAUUAGGAUUGUUCAUCAUCAUUUACAUUGUGUUAGAAAGCAGAGACUGAUCCAGAUUUAAUCCAAAGUAUGAAUUAAUAUUUGGCUUUUAUUUUGUUGUGUCAUUGUCCUGUGUGUUUAUUGUACUGUAUCAUGUAUAAUUGCACUUUAUUCGAUCUUAUGUACUGUUACGUGUUGCACCAUGGUCCUGGAGUCAUUUUUGUUCCAUUAAGUUAUAUACUUGUAGCAGUGACCUGCUGUGGGGUUCGUGACUGGUGAGGCACUGUCUCUUACAGAGUCAGAUUUACAAAUACAUGAAUUUAAUAGAGUAGAUUAAAUUCACCAUUCAGUUGGCUGCUUGCACAUUGUUUAAUGGUUAUUUAUUACGUCCUGUUUUGAGUGGAGUGGUCAUACUGAACGAAGAGGAAACACAGAGGUUCAGAAGAGGUCAUUCAGAGGUCCUAGAUAAAAGGUCUGUUCUUUAACCAGUGUAUAAUCUGGAAGUGGAGGAGCAGCAGCAUUUCAUUUUCUUAUCAGAAAAGAAGAAAUAUCACCACAACAUCUCUGCUUUAUAAAACAACACACUGUGAAGUGUUUUAUUUCCAUUGUUUAAAAGUGCAUAUACUGUAUUUUACUAUGCUUUUAUGAUGCUGAUUGAAGGAACAAAAUAUUAUAAUCCUGUACUUAACUGUAAGAGAAACUCUGAUUCUGUAUACUGUUGUGGUGAUAUUUGUAUCAUCUAGGCUGUGUGAUUGUCUUUAGUGAUUUGCUUAUAGUAAAGUGAUAUAAAGACACAAGAAAAACUGUUUAAAUCAUAUUUUGUAUCUGAAUAAAAUGGAAUUGAAAUAUUUUGAAUGAGAACUUGAAUACAUAAGUAAUCACGUAAUUUGUUAAGAUCGUCCACUAGAUGGCAGUAGAAUACACAAAAGAUUCUAGCCUGCAUCAUUCGAGUUUGUGUUUUUUUCCUAUUUCAUUUAUUUUUCGAAAAAGCAUUCUGAAGAUUCAGAAUUGAUUCCACACAGUGACGGAAAUAUUGCUAGUCUGGAGAUGUUCGGAUUGAAAGACAUAAUUAGACAAAGCUAGAACAUAACAGUUAGAAGCUGUUUUAUAUUAUACAUAUAUUUAAUUAACAUUGCACUGUUUAUUUUAUUAUAUCUCGUUUCCUGUCUUUCCACAAAUGUUUCAGAAUCGACUCAAUUGAUUCAGAUUCAUUGAAAUCAAUGGAGUCAUUUUCUCAUUUUGACCAUCCUAGUUCAGGUACAAUGUCAUUAGAGAAUGUGGUUCUAAAAGGGUUGGAUGUCUCAAAUCCGGUCUUAUGAGUUGAUUUGAACUUGUUUCCAAAUCAGUAAGAUUUAUUUGGAUUUGUACUUGGACUUGUUUUAGUCUUGAGCCUUGAUAAUUAUAAAAAUAUUCUUUGUGUUGUCUUUUCUUUUGCAAAAUGUUUGUCAAGAAGUGAAACUGCUUAAUCCCUGAGCAAUGUACGAAUGAAACCAACUAGUUGAUGUGAAGUGUAGACCUCAAAAAGGAUUCGAUUCUCUUGAUCUUUGACUCUUUGACGCUUUCAUUUGACUCUUUGAUGCUUUCAUUUGGUCCUGACUCAGUCUCAGGUAGUUCUGGUCUUAGACUUACCUUCUACAAUGCCGUUCUUGACGACAGACAUACUUAUUAUUGUUUAUCUAUUUGUUAUCAAAUGUAAUAAGAUUGAAACUAUUUUAAACACAAACUCUUAACGAUACCAUAAUCUUGUGGUACUAUUGGCUGAAUUUCAUAUACAGAGAUCUGAAAUUUGUAACACAAAAGCCUUUAGACAAGCUGGAUAAAGUGGGAUGUUUUAUUCAAUUUUGUCAGAAAACACUCAUUAAUUAUCUUUAUGACCUCUGGUAUGAACACAAAGGAAAUAAAGCACAAAACAACAAGGCAGGUUAAUGUCCUGGGAUGAAUAUAUCAUGUGAUAAUGACUAUUAUUUGUUAGCUGCUGUUGGUUAGAAGGAUAUUUACUUCAUUGACAGAUGAAAUAAUCUGAAGCAGUGAGUUAUGAACUAAAUCACGGGUCCAGGAUUUUAAACAUGGGGUGGCAAAGAUGUGAAUGAAUGAAUGUCAUGCUAACAGUGGACAAUCUGUAAGCUAAAAAUUUAUAAUACAUUAUCAUCGUUUGGCACAUAUUAAAACAAAAAUGUAUGAAAACUUUAAAGAUGUGUAAUUUAUUAAAAGGUGUUGCAGAGACAUGAGCUUGUUUAUACUUGAUAAUGUUCAUUUUUUUAUUUUUACAAAAAUUAAGCAUUAUUUAAUUGCAUAGUUAUUCAAAUGGUUGUAGGAGAACAAAAAUAAUACAAACAACAACAGGAGCAGGAAAAAGAGAAGAUCAAGCAGGACCACUGGAGGGGGUGCUGGCAGGUGAAUCACUGGAGUCUGCUUUGGCAUCUGUAUUUUGUGCCACUCCUUCCCCAUUGUUCUCCUUCCUGUUGUAUCACUUGUUUCCCAUUAACCUUAAUGUGUAGCCCUAUUAAUAGGGAUCCUUGUAUACCUGUCCUCGUUGGUCAUUGUUGAUUGUUUGGUGUUAUGUUACGUCAUGUUCAUGUUCAGGUUUAGGCCAUGUUUUAUUCUUUGGUUUUCUGUUUAUAUUUUAGAUUCAGUUAGUGUCAU
Long non-coding RNA from Hemibagrus wyckioides, 6026 nucleotides. RefSeq lists it as uncharacterized. The record is from RefSeq and is a predicted model, not a curated record. Lineage: Eukaryota; Metazoa; Chordata; Actinopteri; Siluriformes; Bagridae. The transcript has 3 exons.